RNAcentral lists this unclassified non-coding RNA (315 nucleotides) under Bombus terrestris (buff-tailed bumblebee). RNAcentral describes it as "misc RNA ENSBTSG00005036528.1". The record is from RNAcentral. Lineage: Eukaryota; Metazoa; Arthropoda; Insecta; Hymenoptera; Apidae.
AGCGGUGCGUGUUACGUUCAACGAGCGGAAAACCCUCCUGCACUUGCUUUUUUUCUCUCUCGCUCUUUCUCCCUCUUUCUUUGUAUUCUUUCGCGAUGGUCUCUCUUUAGUCUGGCUAGUUCCUUUCGCCUUCUUUAGUCGCUCGUCCAGAAAACAGAUCGCCGCGGUCUCGUUUUCACACCUCGCCGCCUCUAUUCCUUACUUCGUCUUCUUUGCGCCCGUAGAUCGUCUAACCAUUUGCAUAAUGCUUGAAGUGACAUCACGCUUCGAAAAUUUUCUCCAUGUUGUCGUCCUUUUUACUCGGUCGCCGCCUCC